Molecule: ribosomal RNA, 468 nt
Filed under: uncultured bacterium
Lineage: Bacteria
Description: partial 16S ribosomal RNA
Rfam family: Bacterial small subunit ribosomal RNA
Source: RNAcentral
GACGAACGCUGGCGGCGUGCUUAACACAUGCAAGUCGAACGGAAAGGCCCUGCUUUUGUGGGGUGCUCGAGUGGCGAACGGGUGAGUAACACGUGAGUAACCUGCCCUUGACUUUGGGAUAACUUCAGGAAACUGGGGCUAAUACCGGAUAGGAGCUCCUGCUGCAUGGUGGGGGUUGGAAAGUUUCGGCGGUUGGGGAUGGACUCGCGGCUGAUCAGCUUGUUGGUGGGGUAGUGGCUUACCAAGGCUUUGACGGGUAGCCGGCCUGAGAGGGUGACCGGCCACAUUGGGACUGAGAUACGGCCCAGAGUCCUACGGGAGGCAGCAGUGGGGAAUAUUGCACAAUGGGCGGAAGCCUGAUGCAGCAACGCCGCGUGCGGGAUGACGGCCUUCGGGUUGUAAACCGCUUUCGCCUGUGACGAAGCGUGAGUGACGGUAAUGGGUAAAGAAGCACCGGCUAACUACGUG